UACGGGGGGAGCAAGCGUUGUUCGGAUUUACUGGGCGUAAAGGGCGCGUAGGCGGCCUCCGCAAGUCAGUUGUGAAAUCUCCGGGCUUAACCCGGAAAGGUCAACUGAUACUGUCGGGCUAGAGUCCGGAAGAGGCAAGUGGAAUUCCUGGUGUAGCGGUGAAAUGCGCAGAUAUCAGGAGGAACACCGAUGGCGAAGGCAGCUUGCUGGGACGGUACUGACGCUGAGACGCGAAAGCGUGGGGAGCAAACAGG
RNAcentral lists this ribosomal RNA (254 nucleotides) under uncultured bacterium. Its description in RNAcentral is "partial 16S ribosomal RNA". It matches the Rfam family "Bacterial small subunit ribosomal RNA", at positions 524 to 776 of the family's 1533-position model. The record is from RNAcentral.